GACGAACGCUGGCGGCGUGCUUAACACAUGCAAGUCGAACGGAAAGGCCCUGCUUUUGUGGGGUGCUCGAGUGGCGAACGGGUGAGUAACACGUGAGUAACCUGCCCUUGACUUUGGGAUAACUUCAGGAAACUGGGGCUAAUACCGGAUAGGAGCUCCUGCUGCAUGGUGGGGGUUGGAAAGUUUCGGCGGUUGGGGAUGGACUCGCGGCUUAUCAGCUUGUUGGUGGGGUAGUGGCUUACCAAGGCUUUGACGGGUAGCCGGCCUGAGAGGGUGACCGGCCACACUGGGACUGAGAUACGGCCCAGACUCCUGCGGGAGGCAGCAGUGGGGAAUAUUGCACAAUGGGCGGAAGCCUGAUGCAGCAACGCCGCGUGCGGGAUGACGGCCUUCGGGUUGUAAACCGCUUUCGCCUGUGACGAAGCGUGAGUGACGGUAAUGGGUAAAGAAGCACCGGCUAACUACGUG
This 468-nucleotide ribosomal RNA is filed under the name uncultured bacterium. RNAcentral describes it as "partial 16S ribosomal RNA". It matches the Rfam family "Bacterial small subunit ribosomal RNA", at positions 28 to 507 of the family's 1533-position model. The record is from RNAcentral.